GGAGGGUAUAGCUCAGUGGUAGAGCACCUGCUUAGCAUGCAGGAGGUCCUGGGUUCAAUCCCCAGUUCCUCCA
RNAcentral lists this transfer RNA (73 nucleotides) under Vicugna pacos (alpaca). RNAcentral's name for it is "tRNA-Ala (AGC) (tRNA-Ala-AGC-69-1)". It matches the Rfam family "tRNA". Rfam says of the family: Transfer RNA (tRNA) molecules are approximately 80 nucleotides in length. Their secondary structure includes four short double-helical elements and three loops (D, anti-codon, and T loops). Further hydrogen bonds mediate the characteristic L-shaped molecular structure. tRNAs have two regions of fundamental functional importance: the anti-codon, which is responsible for specific mRNA codon recognition, and the 3' end, to which the tRNAs corresponding amino acid is attached (by aminoacyl-tRNA synthetases). tRNAs cope with the degeneracy of the genetic code in two manners: having more than one tRNA (with a specific anti-codon) for a particular amino acid; and 'wobble' base-pairing, i.e. permitting non-standard base-pairing at the 3rd anti-codon position. The record is from RNAcentral. Lineage: Eukaryota; Metazoa; Chordata; Mammalia; Artiodactyla; Camelidae.